UGUUGCUGGAGAUCCUGAACUUCAAAGUUCAGAAGAGAGCUCAGAAACAAGGGAAUACGAAGUGAAGGAAUGUACGAACGAAAGCUCUGUUGUGACAUCCUCCGAGGCAAAAGGGGGUGAAAAAUUUGAGAAGGAUCAAAGAGUGUUGAGCUCAAAAAAUGAGGCCAGAUCAGAUGCUGAGAGAGCAAAGGAGGGCAAAAAGUCAAAAUCAUCUGUUAAGGAUUCAUCAAAGAGGACAGUGCAGCAUAAUAACCGAACUAAAUACACCGUUCCACACCCUUUUUCCCUUGCAACCGAAAAGCGUGCUUCAUUUGGAGCUCGUCCUGCUGAUGAUACUACGAGGGUAUCCAAUGGUAAACCAGUGCAGCGUUCUCGUGCUGUGCAGCCAAAUCAGGUGACCCCAAGACAAGUGAGUCUGAAUUCAAACUCGUAACAUUGAGCAAUAUCAUAUACAUUCGCUUUAACACUUAGAUUAUAAAUGUAAUGUUCAUAGCAAGUUGCACAUGGAAAUAUAACGAAAAGAUUUGAGUACAGUCAUGAGAUCUGGACUUAAGAUUUUGGUUCUUCAUCCUUAUAUGAAAGACUAAUUCCAGAGAACUGCCCCAUUGCUCUGCAUAUAUCACUGCUGAUUUAGGAAUCAAGUCAACCAUUAGAACAAUUUUAGUGAAAUCUAUCAGGCAAUUCACUUUUGUACCUUGUCAAACAUACACUUUAUGUUCUGGGAUGAUGUCCAAGUUAAUUCUUUUUGGCUGCAGCA
RNAcentral lists this long non-coding RNA (757 nucleotides) under Eucalyptus grandis. Its description in RNAcentral is "long non-coding RNA (EGRA_LNC005038)". Lineage: Eukaryota; Viridiplantae; Streptophyta; Magnoliopsida; Myrtales; Myrtaceae. The record is from RNAcentral.